CCAGAGUGGAAUGAAGAUAUGGUU
Molecule: microRNA, 24 nt
Filed under: Medicago truncatula (barrel medic)
Lineage: Eukaryota; Viridiplantae; Streptophyta; Magnoliopsida; Fabales; Fabaceae
Description: mtr-miR5268b
Source: miRBase by way of RNAcentral